Molecule: ribosomal RNA, 253 nt
Filed under: uncultured bacterium
Lineage: Bacteria
Description: partial 16S ribosomal RNA
Rfam family: Bacterial small subunit ribosomal RNA
Source: RNAcentral
UACGUAGGGUGCGAGCGUUAAUCGGAAUUACUGGGCGUAAAGCGUGCGCAGGCGGUUUGUCAGGUCGGAUGUGAAAUCCCCGGGCUUAACCUGGGAAUUGCGUUCGAAACUAGCAGGCUAGAGUGCGGCAGAGGGGGGUAGAAUUCCACGUGUAGCAGUGAAAUGCGUAGAGAUGUGGAGGAAUACCGAUGGCGAAGGCAGCCCCCUGGGUCGACACUGACGCUCAUGCACGAAAGCGUGGGGAGCAAACAGG